This 465-nucleotide ribosomal RNA is filed under the name uncultured Klebsiella sp. Its description in RNAcentral is "bacterial SSU rRNA". It matches the Rfam family "Bacterial small subunit ribosomal RNA", at positions 338 to 795 of the family's 1533-position model. Lineage: Bacteria; Pseudomonadati; Pseudomonadota; Gammaproteobacteria; Enterobacterales; Enterobacteriaceae. The record is from RNAcentral.
ACUACGGGGGGCAGCAGUGGGGAAUAUUGCACAAUGGGCGCAAGCCUGAUGCAGCCAUGCCGCGUGUGUGAAGAAGGCCUUCGGGUUGUAAAGCACUUUCAGCGGGGAGGAAGGCGUUAAGGUUAAUAACCUUGUCGAUUGACGUUACCCGCAGAAGAAGCACCGGCUAACCCCGUGCCAGCAGCCGCGGUAAUACGGAGGGUGCAAGCGUUAAUCGGAAUUACUGGGCGUAAAGCGCACGCAGGCGGUCUGUCAAGUCGGAUGUGAAAUCCCCGGGCUCAACCUGGGAACUGCAUUCGAAACUGGCAGGCUAGAGUCUUGUAGAGGGGGGUAGAAUUCCAGGUGUAGCGGUGAAAUGCGUAGAGAUCUGGAGGAAUACCGGUGGCGAAGGCGGCCCCCUGGACAAAGACUGACGCUCAGGUGCGAAAGCGUGGGGAGCAAACAGGAUUAGAUACCCUAGUAGUC